Non-coding RNA from Pelobates cultripes (western spadefoot toad), 1059 nucleotides. The record is from the annotation of a GenBank genome assembly. Lineage: Eukaryota; Metazoa; Chordata; Amphibia; Anura; Pelobatidae.
ACCAGGGAUUGCAGUGAUAUGUCCUAUCCUUCCAGGCCAGAGGUAGGAAGGAGGGGGGUGCAUACUUUUUUUCCCUCUUUUUAAGUAAAACAUUUUAUAAAAUAGAUUCUCUCCCUGAUCCCCCUCCCCACCACACUAUAGACCACUGACACACUACACCACCUUACACGCAUACUGCACUCCCCCCCACACACAGAACCCCUCACACAAACACACUACAUCCCCUCACACAAACACACUGCACCCCCCCACACACACAGAACCCCUCAAACAAACACACUGCACCCCCCACACACAGAACCCCUCACACAGACAAAUAACCCCUCACACACAAACACACUGCACCCCCUCACACACUACACCCCCUCACACACAUAAAAACAUAACACCCCUCACACACACCCAAAUCCUCACACAAACACAUAACUCCUCACACAAACAAACUGCACCCCUCACACGCAUACUGGACCCCUCUCACAAACACAGCAUCCCUCACACAGACACCCACUAUACCCCUCACACACACACACACCACACACACACAGAACCCCUCACACUCACUGCACCCCCUCACAUACACACUGCACCCAUCACAUGCACUCUGGACCCCUCUCACAAACACAGCAUCCCUCACACAAACACACUACACCCCCCAGACACAGAACCCCUAACACACACAGAAUAACUCACACAAAAAACCUGCACCCCCCUCACACACACACUGCACCACUCACACACAAACACUGCACCACACACUCUGCACCCUUCACACACACACACACACACUGCAAGUAGCAACAUCAUAUCAAUACCAGUUAACAUCACACCAAAGAGAAUCAGUUCCAGCCAUCACAUUAGGAGUUAGUUAAUUAAAUGUUUGACCAAAUACAGCAGGCUAAUUUUUAAGUUGAUAAUUUUGUAUGGCUCGUGAAUGAUGUUUUCAAAUAUCCAAAUGGUCCCCUGCUUUAAAAAAUUACUCCAAGCACCCUAACCAUGUUAGUAAUUUGAAGUGGUCGUGGUAUUUAAGUAAAGUCUGUGCAGCAUUUCAUGGAGAAGCAC